UGUAAGUUCUUGGUGAAACUGUUCCGCUCAACGGAACAGCGUGCCUGGAAUACUGCAGGACUUGGGAUCGGGAGGCGUUAGAGGUAUUCUAGGGGGAGCGGUAAAAUGCUAUAAUCCCUAGAGGACCGCCGAUGGCGAAGGCAUCUAACGAGAACGAGUCCGACAGUGAGGGACGAAAGCUAGGGGAGCGAUCGGGAUUAGAUACCCCAGUAGUCCUAGCCGUAAACGCUGUGAGCUAGAUGUCGCGUAUUCUUCGAGAAUGCGCGGUGUCGUAGUGCAGAUGUUAAGCUCACCGCCUGGGAAGUACGGUCGCAAGGCCGAAACUUAAAGGAAUAGGCGGGGGAGCACCACAAGGGGUGCGGCGUGCGGUUUAAUCGAACUCAACACCCAGAAUCUCACCAGCAGCGACGGCAGGAUGAAGGUCAGUCUAAAUGGCUUACCCGACGAGCCGAGAGGUAGUGCAUGGCCGUCGUCAGCUCGUACCGUGAGGUGUCCAGUUAAGUCUGGCAACGAGCGAGACCUGCAUCCUUAAUUGCUAGCAGUUACUUCGGUAAGACUGAGCACAUUAAGGGGACUGCCUUGGAAACAAGGAGGAAGGCGCAGGCGACGGUAGGCCUGUAUGCUCCGAAUCUGCUGGGCAACACGCGCGCAACAAUGGUAAGGACAAUGGGAUGCAACACCGAAAGGUGAAGCUAAACCUCUAAACCUUAUCUCAGUCCAGAUUGAGGUUUGUAACUCAGCCUCAUGACGCCG
RNAcentral lists this ribosomal RNA (753 nucleotides) under uncultured euryarchaeote. RNAcentral's name for it is "bacterial SSU rRNA". It matches the Rfam family "Archaeal small subunit ribosomal RNA", at positions 532 to 1284 of the family's 1478-position model. The record is from RNAcentral. Lineage: Archaea; Methanobacteriati; Methanobacteriota.